RNAcentral lists this ribosomal RNA (496 nucleotides) under uncultured bacterium. RNAcentral's name for it is "partial 16S ribosomal RNA". It matches the Rfam family "Bacterial small subunit ribosomal RNA", at positions 29 to 507 of the family's 1533-position model. The record is from RNAcentral.
AUGAACGCUGGCGGCGUGCCUAAUACAUGCAAGUAGAACGCUGAAGCUUGGUGCUUGCACCGAGCGGAUGAGUUGCGAACGGGUGAGUAACGCGUAGGUAACCUGCCUCUUAGCGGGGGAUAACUAUUGGAAACGAUAGCUAAUACCGCAUAAAAGUCGACAUCGCAUGAUGUUGACUUGAAAGGUGCAAUUGCAUCACUAAGAGAUGGACCUGCGUUGUAUUAGCUAGUUGGUGAGGUAACGGCUCACCAAGGCGACGAUACAUAGCCGACCUGAGAGGAUGAUCGGCCACACUGGGACUGAGACACGGCCCAGACUCCUACGGGAGGCAGCAGUAGGGAAUCUUCGGCAAUGGGGGCAACCCUGACCGAGCAACGCCGCGUGAGUGAAGAAGGUUUUCGGAUCGUAAAGCUCUGUUGUAAGAGAAGAACGAGUGUGAGAGUGGAAAGUUCACACUGUGACGGUAACUUACCAGAAAGGGACGGCUAACUACGUG